UCCUGGGUGGACCAGAGGCUAGCAUGCGGUGCUCUCACUGCUGCGGCCUUUGUUCGAUUCCUGGUCAGGGAG
Ameiurus melas (black bullhead) is the source of this 72-nucleotide non-coding RNA. The record is from the annotation of a GenBank genome assembly. NCBI's taxonomy places the organism in Eukaryota, Metazoa, Chordata, Actinopteri, Siluriformes, Ictaluridae.